GAUGAAGAACGCAGCGAAAUGCGAUAAGUAGUGUGAAUUGCAGAAUUCAGUGAAUCAUCGAAUCUUUGAACGCACAUUGCGCCCUUUGGCAUUCCGAAGGGCAUGCCUGUUCGAGCGUCAUUUAUCAACCCUCAAGCCCGGCUUGCGGUUGGGUCCCGCCGUGGGCGACCACGGCGGACCCGAAAGGUAAUGGCGGUGCCCGUGGGGCCCUGGACGCAGCGAGCUUCUCGGCACGCGUCCCGGCGGUCCCCGGCGCCGUCUCCACCAAUCCACCACGCAGAUUGACCUCGGAUCAGGUAGGGAUACCCGCUGAACUUAAGCAUAUCAAUAAGCGGAGGA
RNAcentral lists this unclassified non-coding RNA (339 nucleotides) under soil metagenome. Its description in RNAcentral is "partial contains 5.8S ribosomal RNA, internal transcribed spacer 2, and large subunit ribosomal RNA". The stretch from base 1 to 120 matches the Rfam family "5.8S ribosomal RNA", at positions 35 to 154 of the family's 154-position model. The record is from RNAcentral.